GUAAAGGCCGUUUUCAGGGCCACCCACAAUUUAAUUUCCAUUAUUU
Molecule: non-coding RNA, 46 nt
Organism: Schistosoma margrebowiei
Lineage: Eukaryota; Metazoa; Platyhelminthes; Trematoda; Strigeidida; Schistosomatidae
Source: Rfam